Molecule: microRNA precursor, 73 nt
Filed under: Sorex araneus (European shrew)
Lineage: Eukaryota; Metazoa; Chordata; Mammalia; Eulipotyphla; Soricidae
Description: miRNA (ENSSARG00000016889.1)
Source: RNAcentral
UGCAGGCAUGAGUGAGUGCGCAUCCGCGUACACACACACACACACAUAUACACUCAUGCACACACGCACACAC